AGAGUUUGAUCAUGGCUCAGGAUGAACGCUAGCUACAGGCUUAACACAUGCAAGUCGAGGGGAAACGACAUCGAAAGCUUGCUUUUGAUGGGCGUCGACCGGCGUACGGGUGAGUAACGCGUAUCCAACCUGCCCACCACUUGGGGAUAACCUUGCGAAAGUAAGACUAAUACCCAAUGAUAUCUCUAGAAGACAUCUGAAAGAGAUUAAAGAUUUAUCGGUGAUGGAUGGGGAUGCGUCUGAUUAGCUUGUUGGCGGGGUAACGGCCCACCAAGGCAACGAUCAGUAGGGGUUCUGAGAGGAAGGUCCCCCACAUUGGAACUGUUUUAGACACGGUCCAAACUCCUACGGGAGGCAGCA
RNAcentral lists this ribosomal RNA (360 nucleotides) under uncultured bacterium. RNAcentral's name for it is "bacterial SSU rRNA". It matches the Rfam family "Bacterial small subunit ribosomal RNA", at positions 8 to 353 of the family's 1533-position model. The record is from RNAcentral.